RNAcentral lists this transfer RNA (66 nucleotides) under Echmepteryx hageni. Its description in RNAcentral is "tRNA-His". Lineage: Eukaryota; Metazoa; Arthropoda; Insecta; Psocodea; Lepidopsocidae. The record is from RNAcentral.
AUUUAAAUAGUUUAAAAAAAAUUAUGAUUUGUGGUGUCAUAGAUAUAUUAAAAUAUAUUUUAAAUU